AUAAGAGAGUCAAAACAGGAGGUGCCAAACUAUGAGAGAGUGAGAUGAAUUGCAUUGAGUUAUUAGUAGAGAAUAUCAGAGAGUGAUUUGUAUGUAUAGGAAAUUUAGGGAGUCUACGUAUGGCGAUGAUGGGUGAAUAGUAAGAUUGAUAAUAAAAAGGAAUCAUUCUUAGUUUAGAAAGAUCAUUGAUUGAGCGUUUUGGAAUUUGAUGAAAAACUUUAAGAGAAUAAGUAUUGGAAUUAGAGGGAGUUUAUAUUUAUGAAGUUGUUCUUGAAGAAGUUGAUGAUGAAAACAUGACAAUAAAGAUGUAUUAUUGAUGGUGGUGAUUGAAACUUGAUCAACUACUCAAGAAAACAGAAGAAAUGAAGAGCCCGAAGAUAUCCGUUUCAUAGCUUAGAGCUUUAUUGAAUCUAGUGAUGUGGUGUAUCUUUUACUACAUGUAUUCUUUCUUCUGUAAACAACAAAUUAAUACGAUCUUAGAAUUCGAAAUACUUUCAUUUUUAUAAUAUCACGGGGUUUGGGUUU
This is a long non-coding RNA of Papaver somniferum (opium poppy), 525 nucleotides long. RefSeq lists it as uncharacterized. NCBI's taxonomy places the organism in Eukaryota, Viridiplantae, Streptophyta, Magnoliopsida, Ranunculales, Papaveraceae. The transcript has 2 exons. The record is from RefSeq and is a predicted model, not a curated record.